UGGUCAAAGAUUGUCUCAGUUUUAAAAAAUUAGUAUAUCAUGUGACAUCCCAAGUGCUAAUUAAGGAAAAUGGGUGUUAGAUACAAAUUUAAAAUAACGAGUGCAUGAUAAAAUUUAUGCAGCGGAACAAAAUCAUUACAAAUUCCUUAUAAAUACAUAUGAGUUCCAAUACAUACAUAUAUUGAGGCCAGAAGUGGCUGCAAAAUACAACACAAAUAUAAGGGCCACUUCUUUCACUAUGCUAUUGGACUCAUUAAAGUGCGGGAACAGUCAUGCACUCAAACUUGUGGAUCCACAGGAUCCUCACAGAGUUCCAAGAGUUGGUCUGCUUGUGGUUCCUC
RNAcentral lists this long non-coding RNA (341 nucleotides) under Carica papaya (papaya). RNAcentral's name for it is "long non-coding RNA (CPAP_LNC016465)". The record is from RNAcentral. Lineage: Eukaryota; Viridiplantae; Streptophyta; Magnoliopsida; Brassicales; Caricaceae.